Molecule: long non-coding RNA, 520 nt
Organism: Nannospalax galili (Upper Galilee mountains blind mole rat)
Lineage: Eukaryota; Metazoa; Chordata; Mammalia; Rodentia; Spalacidae
Exons: 2
Source: RefSeq, a predicted model, not a curated record
UAUAGAUGGAAGAUUGGAUCAGAGCAAGCAAGACUGAGUGAGAAAAACUGAGGCUAGGAUACACAGGCCUGUGUCAGGGAAUGGGGAAGCCUCCACAGUUCCUAGGAGGGGAAACCAAAGCGAAGGCCAGAAGGCUCUUGGUGGAGGCAGAGCUAAAGGAAGGCCAUGCUGGAUGCUAUGGAGCAGCUCUGCCCUGUUCCUCCUCCCCAGAUGGGUGGACCAGUCUUCCGGAGAUCCUUGUGUCGGUCCACCUGCCCUGGGAUGGCCCCACCCACAGUUGGCUGGGUGUCCCCACAUCAAUCAACAAUCAAGAAAAAGGCUGGCGAGAUGGCUUCACAGUUAAGAGGGCUGGAUGAUCUUGCAAAGGACCCUGAUUUGGUUCCCACGUGGCGGCUAAUAACUGUCCUUAACCCCAGGGGAUCUCUUCUGGCCUCCACAGUCACCAGGUAUGCAUGAGGUGCACUAACAUACAUGCAGGCAAAACACUCAUACACACAAAAAAUAAAAUCUUAAAAAAAAA